Molecule: ribosomal RNA, 499 nt
Filed under: Hymenoscyphus fraxineus
Lineage: Eukaryota; Fungi; Ascomycota; Leotiomycetes; Helotiales; Helotiaceae
Description: eukaryotic LSU rRNA
Rfam family: 5.8S ribosomal RNA (bases 136-289)
Source: RNAcentral
AGAACCCCACCCUUGUGUAUAUUAUAUUGUUGCUUUAGCAGGUCGCCCUCUGGGCGUCGGCCUCGGCUGACUGUGCCUGCUAGAGGACCCUAAAUUUUGAAAUACAGUGUCGUCUGAGUACUAUUUAAUAGUUAAAACUUUCAACAACGGAUCUCUUGGUUCUGGCAUCGAUGAAGAACGCAGCGAAAUGCGAUAAGUAAUGUGAAUUGCAGAAUUCAGUGAAUCAUCGAAUCUUUGAACGCACAUUGCGCCCCUUGGUAUUCCGGGGGGCAUGCCUGUUCGAGCGUCAUUUAGACCAACUCCCGCUCCGGCGGGGUCUUGGGCUGCGCCUUUGGGCGGGCCUUAAAACCAGUGGCGGUGCCCUAAGGCUCUACGCGUAGUAAUUCUUCUCGCGAUAGGGUCCUUGCGGUGUCUUGCCAGCAACCCCCAACUCUCUAGGGUUGACCUCGGAUCAGGUAGGGAUACCCGCUGAACUUAAGCAUAUCAAUAAGCGGAGGAA